GAUUAUGGCUCAGAACGAACGCUGGUGGCGUGUCUAUACAUGCAAGUCGAGCGAGGCAGCAAUGCCGAGCGGCGAACGGGUGAGUAACGCGUAAGCAAUCUGCCCCAUAUCAGGAAAUACCCGUGCCAACGCGCGGUUAAUGUCCAGGAGAGUGGCCCUCUGCAUGGAGGGUUGACUAGAGAUUUAUCGGUAUGGGAUGAGCUUGCGUCCGAUUAGCUAGUUGGCGGGGCAACGGCCCACCAAGGCGACGAUCGGUAUCCGGCCUGAGAGGGUGAUCGGCCACAUUGGGACUGAGAUACGGCCCAGACUCCUACGGGAGGCAGCAGUAGGGAAUAUUGCACAAUGGGGGAAACCCUGAUGCAGCAACGCCACGUGUGGGAAGAAGCAUUUCGGUGUGUAAACCACUGUCAUGAGGGAAUAAGGCCCUUAUUCGUAAGGGAUUGAAUGUACCUUGAGAGGAAGCACCGGCAAACUUCGUGCCAGCAGCAGC
Molecule: ribosomal RNA, 490 nt
Filed under: uncultured bacterium
Lineage: Bacteria
Description: bacterial SSU rRNA
Rfam family: Bacterial small subunit ribosomal RNA
Source: RNAcentral